UACAGAAGUCUCAAGCGUUGUUCGGAAUUACUGGGCGUAAAGGGUGCGCAGGCCGCGCGGGCAGUCAAAUGUGUAAUUCAGGGGCUCAACCCCUGCACUGCGCUUGAUACUUCCGCGCUCGAGCUUUGGAGAGGAGUCUGGAAUUCUCGGUGUAGCAGUGAAAUGCGUGGAUAUCGAGAAGAACACUUAGGGCGAAGGCAAGACUCUGGACAAAUGCUGACGCUCAUGCACGAAGGCUAGGGUAGCGAACGGG
Molecule: ribosomal RNA, 253 nt
Filed under: uncultured bacterium
Lineage: Bacteria
Description: partial 16S ribosomal RNA
Rfam family: Bacterial small subunit ribosomal RNA
Source: RNAcentral